RNAcentral lists this unclassified non-coding RNA (427 nucleotides) under Hevea brasiliensis (rubber tree). Lineage: Eukaryota; Viridiplantae; Streptophyta; Magnoliopsida; Malpighiales; Euphorbiaceae. The record is from RNAcentral.
UCCAUGACUUGUACAUACUCUCAGUGCCAAAAUAACAGAACAUUGCGUGCUUUACCGCCUGCCUUUACGUUUGAAAUCCCUUGGACCAGCCAGAUUUGGAAGAGAUGCUUUCAUCUCCUCCAAAAGGGCCAUAGCCAGCUCCACCUUUCCCAUUUUCUUUAAACUAUUGAUAAGUGAUCGGUAUAUAUAGAUUGAUGGACGGAUCUGCUUUGUCUUCAUCUCUCUAAAUAGUUUCAAUGACUCCUCAAUAUUCCCUGAUCGACCAAAACUCUGAAUUAAUGCAGUAUAUGUAAGCAAAUCUGGUUCAAUUCCACUCUCACCCAUUUCCUUCAUGUACACUAAACACAAAUCCAACCUUCCAGCCUUCUGCAACUGGUUUAAUAAUGUAUUGUAAGAAAUGAAAUCUGGAGAAAUUCCUGCCUCCUUC